AGAAUCAUACAAAAUAAUUUUUUCUCAUCUAUUUAAUGAGUGACUUAAAAAUAUAUAUUUCAUAAUAAUUACACUCAGGAGCAUUUUGAUAGCACAGAUCACAUCAUCAAGAUGCCCACUUCCAUCUGAAGCAAAAUGCACUAAUUGAAGAUUCAGAUCUUUUGAUUGAAGAAGCCAAUUACAUAUUGAUUCUGCAACCUGGUACACGUUCAUAAUCUAAGAAAAACACACAUUACUUGGCAUGAAAGCCAUUAAACUUAUUCUCAUAAUGAACUUUUCUAGAUAUGUUCAUUUGUUCACGUGUUUUUAAAUAUAGAUUAAAAAAACUAUCCUAAGUCAGGUUUCCUGGGAAACAAAAUCUGAGUGGAGGUUUCCAUGCAGGAGGUUUAUUGGCAAGUGCUCUCAGGAUCAACACCUGUGAUGGAGUGAAGGGAGGAGAAAGGGUAGAAGGCAGAGCUGAGUUGUGAUGCAAUCACAACAAAGGCUCCUCAGAUUCUAAGGAGAGCUCUGGAACUGGGAUGAUCCUUCAGAGCUAGACCUUUCUUCCUAUUCAUCUAACAGUGAUUGGAUAUGGGGAGCUGUCUAUAGGAAGCGGGGGUGAUCUUGGGUGAGAAUGCUCUCUUCUGCUGAGAACAACUGCCAGAGGACUCAACUGAGCACCUUUAACCAUUAGCUGAGGCUUCUUAGCAGUCUGCCAUAGCAACUCAAGUAAUGCAACUUUACUCAGCAUGGACCGUCACUUUCUCCAGACUUCUAAGAGAUGCCAUAGCAGAAAAUUUAUGCCUUUCCCUGCAGUCCUUGUCAAGUGUUAAAUCCCAUGGCCUUAUAUCCUGAGAGGAUGGCUCUAAAUCAAUAAACUCUCCUUUAUCUAGUUUCAUGUCCUGCCUCCUUGAUCAAAACUCUUAAAACCAGUCAUUUAUCCAAAUAUGCUGGCUAAUCAUUGAAGCUCUUUUGGGGGUAUAGUGUCUUUCCUCACCACUCAGGUCUGGUAUAACCUUGAGUUGCUUUUGAUAUAAUUUAACCCAAAGUUUGGGCCUGGCAUUUAGGAGAUGAGAUGAGGGAAAAUCCUGAAGAUGACCCUGUUGCCUUGUGGGAGAGAGGACUCUGCAGUGUUUUCUCAUAUGCAAGAAGGGUAGCUGUGAAAAAGGAAGGAUGCACUAUCUCUGCAGGAUCUAAGGAUUUAGAAAACUUUGGGGAACCCAAAUCUUUGGGUGAAUAGGUGCAUCUGACUGAUCUCAUAUGUCGGGAUACCAGGGAUUCCUAGCAAGGGCCCCAAGCUUGGCAUAAUAGAUUUGACAUAGUUAAACAUUCUAUACACUUUCCCAGCAGCCACUUUCAGCCAGGCAUCCUGGAGGCUCUCCUGGCACUUGCACAGCUCAGAUAUUCAAGGUCCUGGUGGAAGAUUAUGGUGCUCACCCAUGGGCCUCCCCUUUUUCAUGGGCUGUAGGCCUCAGUUGCUGUCUAAAGCCUACAAAGAGUUCCUUUAUAUAUUUUUCCAGAUUUUCUAGUUGCUUAUGGUAAGAACUUAAUUUCAAAGCUGGUAACUGCAUCAGGGUUGGAGCUGGAGGUCUCAAUCAAUGAUUGCUGAAUAAAUAAAUUCAUUGCAUUUGAGAUGCAUCUGGACAUCUUGUAUGUUCUGAUGAAUACACUGAGUAGGCAUUGGGAGUCAUCUAUGUAUGGUAGUAGUUGAAAGACACUGUACAGGUUGUCGAGAUAUCCAAUGAAGCUUAUAAAAAGGCCAAAGAGAGAAAAAUGUUAAACAUUUUAAAUUUUAAAAUGAGAAAAGAGCAAUAUUGAAAGGACAAUGAGUACGACAAUUAAGAAAAGACAGAAAGAAGAAACAUAAAUAUUUUAUUUAAACAUUAUUGUCCUUCAAAUUAACAAAUACUUACUGAAUUUCUCCUAUAAUUUAUAUAAUUAACAAAGAAGAGAUUGUAUGGAUUUGUGGGUGAGUCAAGAAUUAGGGUUCAAUGAGGAAGAAUUUUUGAAAGACUAAAAGUGUUGGGUUUCAGCCUAACUACUUAAAACAUAAAGCAGUAUAGAUCUGGAGGAUAGGGUUAAUUCAGUCAUCAGCUAAGCAAGGGCAGGCUUAAGACUUUGCUGCUAUGAUGCACACGAGAUUAUCAAUUCAAAAAAUAUCAAGGUGGAAGAAAAACAGUAAUGGUUCCAGAAUUUUCAUAGUGAUGGAGAUUUGGGGCAAAAAUAUGGUUGAAAGCAAAUUCAGAAGACUUGUCUGGAGGUGACAUUUCUCCAUAAACACACUUUUAAAAUUUAAAGUCUGUGUUAUAGAUGAAUAAAAAUAAUCAGAUUGAUGAUUUCAAACACAUGUUGGCUGACUCUAUUCUUAUUUACAUAAUUAUAGCAAUUGUUUAAAUUGGGAUGGUUUUGUGAAGCAGAGGAUUUUGGAGGACCUUUAUUUCUCUCCAACUCCACCCCAAGCUAUCCUUAUCCUGCAAAUGCAAUGCAUGACUGUGUUAAUGAAAGAGGAGGCUGGGAGAUUCCACAUGAAAGAGUGAAGUAGGAAACAUUAUCCCAGUUGGUCUGAAAGGCAUAUAUGUACUUUAAGAGAUAUCAUUUAUAAGAAGAGAGGGGGAAGGUUAGAUGUUUAAAAGCUGAGCUAACAAUGACAAGAAUAGUCCAUAAAAAUGUUGGUAAUUUUAAUCCUAGUGAAACAGGAAGAAUAAUGAUGCUAUGCAGUCUUACGUUGAACUCUAUGUAACUUUAGUUGUUAUAUUAGGCCAUUCUUUUGCAUUGCCAUUAAGAAAUACCUGAGGCUAGACAAUCUAUAAAGAAAAGAGGCUUAAUUGGCCCACAGUUCUGCAGGCUGUACAGGAAGCUUGUUGUCAGUAUUUGCUUCUCGUGAGGGUCUCAGGGGACUUACAAUCAUGGCAGAAGGUAAACGGGAGGUCAGUGUAUCACAUAGCAAGAGCAGAGCAAGAGCAAGAGUAGAGAGGUGCCAUACACUUUUAAGCAAUCUGAUCUCGAGUAAACCCACUCAUCACCAAGAGGAUGGUGCUAAAUCAUUCAUGAAGGAUCUGCCCCAAAACCCAAACACUUCCCGCCAGGCCCCACCUCCAACACUGGGCAUUACACUUCAACAUUUAAGACAGGACCCCCACUCAAACCAUAUCAGUUGUUAAGGUGAGUAUACAGUAAUACAUGUCCAGGUGGAUAUGUUUCAUAGUUAGUGAAAGGUGUACAAUUGGACGAAGAAAAAUCCAUGGCCAUCUGCCUGUCUGUGACAUAAUAAAUGCUCCAUGUCAUUGUUCAUCAAAACAGAAUGGCAAUAAGCAAGAUCAACUAUAUUGUGAUGCCAAUAGGGGGCCCUGUGGCUUUGUGAUAAAAUCCUACUCAUUUAUUCAAAUUUUGCCCCAAAAGAACCAUAUAAUUAGCUCCAUUAAUAAACAAGUGAGUCCUUCCACUCAUCCAUCUAUCCCCCCAUUCUUCCAUUCUCCCAUUUAGUGCCAUUCACCUUCGUUCUUCAUUAGUUAACAGUGAGAAUACUCAAAAGGCAAAUAGCUCUGCAGUUUUCUCUCCACCUCAUUGGAAUUGUGGGAACUUUUAUUGAGUGGUGAGGGUUAGGGUAAUGAAACUUGGAAAACUGCCAUCCUAGGAUCCCUCUGUGCUACCAAUAUGCAAAUAAUUUAACAGUAAUGCAGUCAAGAGUUCCCUGAGUAAAGACUCUCCAUUUUCAUCACUGUUGGUAAGUGCCAAGAGGGACAGAUGAGAAUAAGUUAUAGCCACACUGUGACAUGUAAUAAAUCUUCCAAAAGAGGUUUACAUGUACUCAGCUCUUUGGCUUUUAUCCUGUGUAUGACACUUCUGUUUGCUUUGCAUCUAAGCAACAGAAAGUAAUCAGCUGCUAAGAACUUAAUUAUUGGUUGCACGGAUAACCCUUAGGGUGUCUGUGUCCAGUCACUUGGGCCUCCUUCUACAUCUCUCAUCACAUAAAGCAAUAUGUUUCCCUGAGUGCCUGCCUCUCUGGAAAGCAUGGUGGUUCAUUUCUCCUUCAAGAGGAAGACAAAGGGCUGCUGAAACAACAAAAUACAAUGAAAUGGCUGUUCCUUGGGAAAAUGAGCCACUAAUUGUUCUUGAUGACUGAAACAAAGGAAGAGUCCUAGGGCUAGAAAUCACUCAAGAGCAGAGCCUUGAUAACAGUCAGAAGCUGAGAGGUAGAAAGUGUAAGGAAUUCUAGGGAGAGGAGUGAGAAAAUACUGUAACAGGCUUGCAAAAUCCAACUCAGAAUCGCACUAGUGUAUUAAUGAGACAAGUUAAACCAGUCACACUCCCACCUCUUAACCAAACUGUUAACACAAUUUAACACACUUUCAAAGGGGCACCCCUAUGAUGUGCUAAUGAAGUCACUUUCUUCCCAGCAUGAGUGAAUGGGCUUUUCCCCCUUUCUUGAGCUCUGUUUGAUCAGGAAGACAAAAUAUUCAAAUAUCUUGUGAAUGUAGGAGGCGGUUAGGAUGGUUUUCAAAUAUAUAUAUUCCGUGUGUGUGUGUGUGUGUGUGUGUGUGUGUGUGUGUGUCACACACGGAAACUGAGACAUAAAGGACCAAAUCUACAGCUCAAAGUUAGUACAAUUAUCUGAAUUUGAAUUGGUUUUCUGCUUCAGCUUUUCCUUACUGUUAUUUAAAUGCUGUGAAAUUAAUAAAUACUGUUUAGGAAUUUUCUCUUUUAGGAUUAUAAGUAACCUGGAAAAUAACAAUAACUGAAAUGCUCUGUAAUUUGUAAGCAGUCAACAGAUGUAUAAGUAUCAUUUCAGUUUUCAAAAUUACAUUGUAAAUUGUUUGAAUUGGACUUUGAAACAAUUUUUCUUUUAACUAUAGGUGGUGGAUACAUUCUAGAAACUUGCAUCUUAAAGCAAUCAAACAAUUUAUUUUCAGUAUAGAUUCAAGACUAAAGCAAUCUCCGAAUAGGUAUUGUUUCACUUAGAUAGCUCCAAAGACAAAAACUAGGUCCCAUGAGGCUAAAACAGUGGUAUGCAUAGGGGGGUUUAUUUUUACUAUCCUUUAAACUGUCCACAUACAAUAUUAUACACACGCAAAGAUAUACAAAAUACACUUUUUAUGCAUUACAUAUUUCAAAAUAAAAGGAAUUCUCAAAAAAACUUUGUUCCAUAGCUGAAAUAUUAAAAUAAAUUGAGUAGAGGCAAUGCAUUUAGCAUUCUUAAAAGUUUCUUGAAAGAUUUUAUAGAAAAACUGCCCAUUAUUCUAGUUGACAACAGUUAUAUGAAUUUUUUAAAAAAGAAAACCUGUAAAAAACAAAAAAGGUCUUUAAACUAUAUGAUAUACAGAUCACUAUCUAUAUUUUUUUAAGAGCAUCUAAACUUUGGUGGAAAAGGUUUUAUAAGUUCUUAUUGCUCUUAUAAAUCUUUGUGGUUAUGUGACAAUGAUUCAUGUAAUAUUAUUGCAUAUCUGACUUUGGCAGUUACCCAUUACACCAUGUUAACAUAUUUCAAUAAGUAAUCAAUUUGGUUUUCCAGUACCCUGAUUUAAUACAGGUUUCAUUAUUUGCCUAGUAUUUAUGUUUUAGGCAUGUUUUCCAUCUUAGUGUAGGACUGCCCUUUUUGCAUUAGCCAUUUUAGGAUAAAAUACUUAAUAAGAUUUGCAUUUAAAAAAUGAACUUGAGGAACUGGACCCCCUCCAGCCAGAGCAAGUAAUUAUGCCAUUUGUAUUGCAAAGCAGGAGUGGCUAUAAAGCAAUGGUAUACUUUUUUAAAGAUUGAUAACCCUAAGCAGUAUUAUAUUACACAUAAAAUGGCAGGUCUGACAGAGGAACUAAACGUGGGCAGUGUAUAAAAUCCUGAGAACUGUAGAGAGUUGCAAAGUCUUUACUUUGUCUUUCUAUAAGAUAGCCAAUUAGAAGGAACUGAUUAUGGCUGAUAUCUUUAUUUCCUAUAACAUCCCUGUGUCAUAUAUUGGUCUUGUCCUAAGAGAACCCUAUGUUUUUGUAGAUAGCAAGAUUGCCACAUCAUAUACUAGUGGAUGCUCUCAAAUUCACUUCCUUGUAUUCAGAGGCUCAAAUUAGAUUGUGUCUAUAGGAAGUGGCCAAAAAAAAAAAAAUGGAAACUGUUUGGUUGUCAUCAUGAUCACCCUAUCCACCAAACUGAAAUUUUCCAUUGCUGAUAAGAACUCAAAGCUCGCAAUAUUAUUACUACUAAAGAAUACAACAGAGAACUUUAUUGAGCAGCUCAAAACUAUUUAAGAUACUUGUAUUGAGAUACUCGAAACUAUGUUCCAAGUACUGUGUUAAGUAUCUGACAGUAUUUAUCCCAUCAAUCCUCACAACAACCUGGCAAGUUUGGCAGUAUUAGUCAAGAUACCCAGUCUAGUUUAACUUUAGGAGUGAUGUUUUUAAUUAUUAUGGUAAACUUAUUUAAACUAAAAAAUGUUUUAAAAAAUAUUCUGAAGAUAUUUUCCAAACAGAAGCAUCCACGACUACGUUUCAGUGAAUUACAGGGCAUUAAAAUGUUCUGGCCUUAAACUGGGAUCUUUUAAACUAAUAGCAGUCCUAGUGGUUUUUAGAGGAAGGUUUUAUAAAAAGAUGUGCCUAAAUUAUCAAUCAUGGUCUUUCUUUAGGAUAAAAAGAUACAUGCCAGGUUGUUUUUCAGGCAUUGGCCAACAUAUAUUUUCUUAAAUUUGAUUAAAGUGUUCCCAAUCUUAAUUUAACAGGAUUCACAUCCUCAUGAAGGAAAACACUAAAAGAAAUGCAAAGCAAAUGAGAAAAGUAGUCUUAUAAGAAAAACAAAAUUCCACAGAGGCAACAAGCCAGUGUGACAUGAACCAAGAACACUGAUGGGGAAAACUUUGACUUUUCCUAUGAGCUCAGUAAACCCAUUUAGGGAGUUGUUAAAAACUGAGAGAGGCAAUGUGGAGAUAGCAACGUCCUUUUAGACUUCAAAGAGAAGGAAAUAUGUUUAGGACCUUCCUGAUAUAAAAAGCUGUUAAAUUCUGAAGCUUUUCCUUAACAUUUAUUCUCGAUUCGAGACUCUAAUGUUCAGUAAUUGGAUUCCAUGUUUGAUUGUUUCAUAUUUCAAUCAGCAGCCUACUUAAAACAACAAGUCAAUCAAAUGAAUAUUCUGGUAGUGUUUUUUACAUUAUUUAUAUAUACAUACAAACAAAUACAUAAAUAUCUACAUACAUUUAUAUAAUAAAGACAGCUCAGCAAUUUUUAGUUAAUUAUGAAAUAAGGUAUAUCAGUUUCUUAGGGCUGCUGUAACAAAGUAUUAUAAAAUUGUUAGCUUAACAGAAACUCUGAAAGUUCUGGAAGAUAAAUGUCGGGAUCAAGGUGUUGACAGAACUGGUUUCUUCUGAGGACAGUGAGGAAGUGUCUGUUCCAUGCCUAUCCCCUGGCUGCUAGUGGUUUGCCAACAAUCUUUAAUGUUGCUUGACUUGUAGAAGCUUACCCUCAUCUCUGCCUUCAUCUUCGCCUGGCAUUUUCCCCAUGUGCGUGUCUAUCUACAAAUUCCCUCCUUAUAAGGACAUCAGUCAUAGUGAAUCAGGGAUCCAUGCUACUCCACAAUGACCUCAUCUUAAUACUAUAUCUGCAACAAGCCAUAUUUCCAAAUAAGACCACCUUCUGACAUGAGAGUUAGGACUUCAACAUGUAGAUUUUGGGGAGACAAAAUUCAACACAAGACAUAAGGUUAACUGUGAAAGAAAAGGGAUGUUUAACAUAGAAAGUUAGAGUUGGUAGGAACUUUAGAAACCUAUACGACUUUCAAAUGGGAAUGCCCCGGCCCAGAGGAAUCAGGUGACUUACCAGCUGAUCACACAGCCAGUGGCAGAGCUAGGACUGGGAUUCAGAUUGCUAAGUUCAAACACAAUACGCUUCCCACCACCUAGGUUUCAACUUACUGAUAAUAGAAUACUUGUACAAAUGAUUUCAUUUAGGAACUAUUUUUUCCUGGUAGGCAAAUUACUUUGUUAAAUAAGAUUUUAAGGUUUGGACUACAUAUUUCACAUACUUUAUGGGGAAAACUCUGGAUGCUUCUCAAGAACAAAUAUGUUAAAUUAUUAAAAAAUAAGAAUUUAAUCUCUAUUUCUCCUCCUUCUAGUGAUGAUUAAAUAAUGAGGGCAUUGUGCAAAAUACUCUACUUAUACUAUUUCAAUUUAUCUUUAUUGAAAUCUUAGAGGGUAGAUCUCAUUAUUCCCAUUUUAAAGAUGAGGAAGAAGAGAAAGAUGUUAAAUAAAUCUACCAAAGUCACCCGAUAAUAAGUUACAUAGCUAGGAUUCAGAUUGGUUUAUUUGACCAGAAAGUCUUUUUUCCUUUCAACUAUGACAAGCUGUUUCACAUAUUUCAUUUCUGACGUCACAGAAUAACCUGUAGAAAUGUAGAGGAAGAAGAAGUCAGAGAUGAAUCAUUUUAGGCAUAAUAUUUCUACUGGAAAAUAUGUCAAGCAUGUGAGUAGAAAUGUUCCUUGGGUAGGGGUGGAUAAAGGGAAAAUUCAAGGCAUCAAAACUGAACUGUCAAUGAAACCUGUAAUUAAUGUAAAAAAAUCAUCAGUAAGUUUAAGUAGACCAAAAAAAAAAAAAAAAAAAAAAAAAAAAAAAAGGAGAUGGGAAGAUUUGAGGAGAACCAGGGCAGGACAGUGUCAGAUAUCUCACAUUAAGAAGAAAGUGAAGGAAGAGAGGCUAUUGAACUAAAUUUUGUACUGGAAACAAAUCUUACUCAUUUUGUAUCAUUAGUACCUAAUCUGCAUUAAAUAAUUAACAAAUAUGUGUAAAAAUGAAAACUUUGGAAUUGACAGUGGAAAGCAUUUUAAAUAGAAUUUUGAGGACAAUGAUAGGAUGUAAGUCUAUCAAAUAUGCCUAGUUUCAUAAUAGUCUACCUACCGGUUUGAAAAAUAAUAGCCAACAUUAAUUGAGCACUUGCUAUGUUUCAGGCUGUUCUAAAUAGUUUGUAGGCAACACUGCAUUAAAUUCUCUCAACAAAUUUAUGAUAUGAGUACUAUUUUGAUCUCCAUUUUUAAAUGAAGAAAAUGAGGUUUAGAAGCCACACAGUAAGGGGCCCACUGGAUUAUUAGGAGCAAUCACUCUUAACCACUGAUUUCACCAAGGAAGAAGAAAUGUUAUAAGAAGGAAUUUAGUUCACUUUUUUUUUUCACCUAGCACAGCACUUGGCAGGUAUUUAAUAAAUGUUGGAUAAAGUUUUAAGUUAUGUUUUAUUAAGGAUUGGGUCCAUGGAGAUGCAGAAUAGCACAGGGGAGUCUUCAGAGGAUAAAGUAGAUGAUGCUAAAGAAUGAAAAGAAACAGCAGAAUCAAGAAGCCUCAUCAAGUGAAAAAUAAUCUAUGCCUGAGCAUGGAUAGACAAGGCAACUUUUUGUGAGAAAUACUUCAUCAUCUAUUGCUAUGGUUCAUCACGUGUUGAAUUUCAGAAAUCUGUACAAGAAAGUUACAUUUAUAAUGGCCAUGAAACCCAAGAAAAAAUUCCUUAUUCCUAAAGUUUAUGUUUUGCAAUCAUCUGUUUCAAAAAGUUUCAAAUGUGAAGCAUAUUGUUAAUAGUGUAUAACCAUAAAAUUUUCAAUAGUAAGUUAUUGAAACAAAGUAGAUGAUGCAAGAAUUACUUAGGGGUAUGUGUGUACGUGUGUGUAUAGGAAGAGUCAUAUUGAACUAUUAAAUGCAAAAAUAUUUUUGUUAAAAUUGUUGGAUGCUAAAAUAUAUAUGCAAUUGCCUUGAUAUAUUUGAGCAAGUGUUCACUUUCUAUGUCAAAUAUAGGUACAUGUUUAUUUAAUAUUUAUUGAGUUUCUGUUAUAUGCCUGAUAUCGUGCCCGGCUCCAGGAUGUCUCUAUAAUUUUAAAAUAAAAAAAUUAAAAACCUGCUAGUUACAGUUUGUUAAACCUUUUGUUUAUAAACUCUGGAAAUAUGUAGUGUUCCUAUUUUUCCCCAAUUGGAGAAAGUCGAUAGCUAAUUCUUGUAAAUGCAUAUAAGUUAUUGUCAAAUAUUUUCUGAAUGUUAGAUAAAAUACAUUGUAGCCCCAAACCAUCAUUUAUAAUAUUAAUCAUUAGUUGUCAGAAGCUGAAUAAAAAAAUAUAGUUUAUCUUAAUUUUUGAAAAAACGUUUUAAAUCUUAAUUCUAAUUUUAAAAUAGCUAUAUCAUUAGCUCACACAAAUAUUCUAUCCAAGUACAUAAGCCAUACCCUCUCAGACAAUGGGCUUAACUCAUGGACUGAAUUAAAAGUUAGAUAGGAAUAUGAAAAGACAAACUUACUUAAGGAACAUCAGUAGUUAUUUCUACAAUAAACGUCUUUUUCAAUCACUACUAUUCCAACAGAGGUUGAGGGCUCAGGAACAUUAAUCUAAUUCAGUAUUUUGGAAGUAUUAUAAAUUAACACACAAACUGAGUCACCUCCCCUACGUACUCCUUAGUUUAUAUUCUCUAACUCAUAAAAAGCACCGUCAACCUUUGGGCUUUUUUUAAAUGGCAACCUCAAGCUAUUCUGAAGUCCUCAUCCUUAUUCUCUCCUCAGCCAAUCAAAUGUGAAAUUCUGUCAAUUCAGCUUCUGAAAACUGAUAACUUGCAUUUGUUUCUCCACUUCUUCCUUAAUUUGAAUGUUCACCCUCUAACCUGGACUAAUGCAGAGUCAUUAACAGCUCUCCCUCUCUUUGGUUUACUCUGUUCCUUCCAGUCCAUCCUAAAUGCACGCGUGUCCUAAACCUGACUUGUCACUCCGUGCAUAAAGGCAUUUUAAGUUCCUCUACUGUUCAAAGAAUUUGGACCAUCCUUUUAAUACAAUUCAUAUAGAGAGACUCAUGGUUUCUGCAUGGGUCUUCUCAUAUCCAGGCAUUAAUAAAAUAACUGACAUCACUUUAACUAAAUAUUUUUACGACAAAAUUCUUACUAAUGCAUACUUAUUAAAUAUUUAGAAUUACUCCAAUUACAGUCCUAAACUCCUUUAGAAAUAUAUGUGUUCAUAAACAUGUACAUUACAUUUAUAUGUAUAUACAUUUACAUUUGAUUUUGUUUUAAGAAACUUAGGAGUGUGCUCUAAAUUGUCGUAUUAAUUCAAAGUUGGUCAUCUUAUUAGGCUGCAAAAAAUGUGGCCUAAAUACCCUAGUUUAUAAUUCAGCAAAGUGCUUGGAAGAGGCACAGUAGGAAUGAUGAAUGGUAAAGAUGGGAUUAUUACUCAAGUCUCAUUUGUGACAGUUGACUUCCGUGAUAUUUAUCUUACAUUUUUCUUUUUGGCUGUGUGUGUGAGUGUAAUACACUUUAUAUAUUAGCAUUGGUCCAUCUAUUAUUAUAUUGGCAGCAGGAGAUUUUCAUUGAUUAGUUUCUCUCUAUUUGCUUUUUCUUUCUCUAAACCUUCAUGCUGUAAUGCAGAAGAUUUAUUUUCAAUGAUUUAUUAAAAUGUAAUUCUAAGGUGACUCCUUAUCAAGGAAGUAAUCUGCAGGCUAUCUUUGUUUAAACUUGCAAGCUGCUUUGUCAAGGAAAACUGCCUAUGAAAUUUUCAUUAUAAUAGACAGCUUUUCAUAAUGAAUGAAAAACAGCUAUUAUGAUUGAAAACAAAUUGCUCUGAAACAUAUUCUUUGAAACAAUGUGCUGCUUAAUUGUAUUUUGGAGGAGGGGGAGGUGAAGGCAAUUCUGUUUAAUUGGUUACAUUUUUCAGUUCUAUAAAUUAAUUUGCACUACCCAAUAUCACUUAAUUUUUCCCUAGGAAAGCUUUUGCUUGCCCUAGCAAUAUUAUAACUGCUAAUUCAAUUACACUGAAAUUGUUUAAUAGAAAAUAUAAUUGCUUAUUCAUACAGAAUACCCAUUAAAGAAGUGCAAAAGCGUGAACCCGAGGGUUACUGCAUAUUAAUACUUUGGGAAUAAAGAUGGGAAUGUUGUGCAGCGAAGGUGCCAGCUGAUCUUUAAUUGUUCAUCACCUGCCUCCAAAAUAAUAUGAAUGGACCCAAACUAAAUGACCACUCAUUACAAGUUUCAAUUUAGGAGCUUGGCUGGGGUCAGCAGAUUGCUUAUGCUGAUCGCAAUGAUUUGAAGUUGUGAUUACCAUAAGCAAUUUAAAUUUUAUUGAUCUCUCCUUCUGAAAGUUGUAAUUGAGCAUAGAUGUUGGACCCAGAGUUCUCCAAACUAAAUUGUACUCUGAAGCCCUUGCUGGAUUCCUGCAAGAAUCAAUAAGCAGUCAGUCACAUUAACAAUGAAAUAGGUCCAUUAACAUACGAUGCUAUUGGUGAAACUUUAUUUAGGAAGGGUGUUAGUUCACUUCAUUGCUUUAUCAAUGAAUCUUGGCUGUACAAGGAAAAGUAUUGCUUUAAUAUGUGUAAUAAGCUUGUAUGAAAAUGAAAUUAUAUAUUAUAAACAUGGAAUAUCAGUAGGUAGGCAGUUGAGUAUUUAUAUGAGAGUUAUUGUGACUCAUAUCAUCAUUUUACUGUAAACAGAGGUUUCAUAUGACUGGAAUUGCAGCUUGCCUGCUGCAGUGCUUUGCAGUUAUUCGGAAUUUUUAUUCUUCUUUAUUAGAUACAAGGUUUCCCUCCAUCAAGGUUAAGUACAUCUUGAAGUCUCCAUGUUCAGUGAUAAGUAGUGGCUUGUUAGGAAAGCUAUAUGACCUAUCCUGCUGAGCUGAGAGCAGGGAAUUCUUACAGAAAUCUAAGUAGUUCCAAGCUAUCUGAGGCAGAAUUUCAUACCCAGAGCACUGCUGAGCCUUGUUAGCAACCCUGGCCUACCUAUUAUCAUCAAAUUAGAAAAUGCUUUAAACGACAAAAGUCUAUUAAAACUUUAUGAUAGACAGGACAUUGGGAAUAAGAUUUGUCCAUUUUGAAGGCAAUUAAAGAAAUUAUUCUGUUUAUUUUUCUAAAUUUAAUCAGUUAUUAUUUGGUUCUUCCAUUCACUUCCUUUCUACUUCCUAAUAGAAUGAUGGAUAGUAAACUCUUGAAGAUUCCCAACCUCCUGGAAAUUUUAAAUCUCAAGAAGUGUGGGUAUAAUAAUAUCAUCACCUAAGAAACUUGUGGCUAAUACCAUGAGCUUCAAAGCCUCUAAAUGACCUACGGCAUGGAUUCUUUAACUUGGUACAAUGUGGUGAAUGAGGAAGAAAAUGGAAUCAAGAACCUUUCCAUUCAAUAUUUAUUACCCUAGUUAGUAGAGAUAAACAUUAUUUCCUUUCUCCCUUUGGUUAGCCUGAGUUACAGAUGAUAAUCUCCUUUAAGUGAUCCAAGUCAUAGGUCAUGGAUCCUGCAGCCCUUUAUUAUUUAAGAAUUAAUUUAAUAAUGGUACACAUAGACAAAUUUUAUUUUUGGAUCUUCCUUGCUGAGUAACAAUGUCUAGUUCAACUGGGGUCGAGAAUGACCAAGAGGUGGGAACAGAAUGUCAGAUCAAGGGCCAGGGAGUAAAGUAGAGAAUCUUAUCUUGAUCCAGAGAGUGCUGCAGGUUUUUACUAGAGUGUCACACAGAGUAACUCUGGAACUCAGCUUCUCAACCACAUCUUUUGCUCUCAUGACCUUGAUAUAUACAAUGCCCAGCAGGAAUUUAACUUUGCGUAUGGCCUGGAUUGCAUGUCUCUCCUUAUGGGAAAGUCUCCCGUGGCGGUUUUGCUUAAAUGACCUAAAAGAGGAAUAAUGACCCACAUAGAGAUAUGGAAAAGGCAUAUUUUAGAAAUCUGAAUGCUACAUUUUAAAACCUUCUGUCUUGUAGAAACAGAAGGUUAAUGGAUUAAAAAUGUGACUUAAUCUCUCUAUGCCUCACUUUCCUCAGUGGUAUAAGAACAAUAGAACAUACUCUUAUAGGAAUGACAUUGGGAUUAAAUAAAACAGUCCAUGUAGGAAAUUUAGUAUAGUGCCUGGCACAGAAUGAAGUCUUAAUAAAGGUUAGUUGUUAUUAGAGUGUCAUAUGUCUGGAUAGCCUUGGAUAGCCCUGGUGUCUUAUUAACAGUGUGGCAGUGCAAUGUUUGGAUGAAAACCUAAAUGUCCACUUUAGCUAUUAUCAUUCAAUGAAGCAGUGAGUGGAGAGCAUGGCAUAUACAUUUUCUGCUGGAGGAAUCGGGAAUGGGAAUGGAGAGAGUGCUUGAAGACUUGUGGCUGGUGGGAGGGUUAGAGUUCACGGAAGGCCAAGGUGAGGUGUGCUAUCCAAAACAUAGAUAGGUCUCUACAAGAUGGGAAGUUGCUGACUAUUUUCUCUUACAUAUUCCUACCUUCUUUAAAGAUUUUGGUUCCCCUUCGAAUGGUCUCUGUUCUGACCAGGCAUCCUCCUCUGAGUACAUUCCCACUCGGCUUGAGCCUGCCUAGGGCUUUUGUGUAGGCAUCUAAUUCAGGUCAGUUUUUUUUUUUUUUUUGAAAAAUAUUUUAUAUUCUUGGUGGUGGUGUUAAUCACCUCCAGUUUAAUAACUUCUAACUCAUUCUCUACGCUCCAUCAUCAACAAUGUUAGAUCUAAAUUCAGGCUAUAUUGUAAUAGCCUUGUUUUUAAAAACAGGUAGUUAUUGAGUAGAUGAUUAAAUGAAUUAACCCUCAUAAGCGCAUGUGUGUUUUAAUAGAUGUCAGGUGAUGCAGUCCCUUAACCUUAACAAAAUACUCUUAAAUGGUAACUUUAGGCUUUAUAGCAGGCUGUUAAAGGAGAUACUAUAAAGCAAGAAGCUUUCUGGGUAUCUCUUAAAUCAUACGGUAUUAGUAAUUAUGUGACCUUUUUGCAGAGUGGAAAAGGCUUAGGAGAAGAUUCAGAGGAAGAUAUAGAAUAAAUGAGUGAAGUGGAUGUGGAGCACAUUAAGAGUGAGACAAAAUAGAAGUGAUAAAGUAAUAGAAACAACAACAAAGACUAUAGAGUAGAGUGCUUUGGAGACAACUAAGUUAAGAGGAUAAUGGGUUAUUUCAAUAAAUUGGAAUAUUGGAAAAGAAUGCCCAAAGGAAAAAAAAAAAAA
Molecule: long non-coding RNA, 14847 nt
Filed under: Homo sapiens (human)
Lineage: Eukaryota; Metazoa; Chordata; Mammalia; Primates; Hominidae
Description: HSALNT0366952
Source: RNAcentral